AAUGGGGGGAAUCUUGUUGAUGCUGCCAAUAUUGCUGCUUUAGCUGCUCUCUUGACAUUUCAGAGGCCAGAAUGUACAUUAGGAGGAGAAGACGGUCAGCAAGUGAUAGUACAUCCACCUGAGGUGAAAGAACCACUUCCAUUGAUAGUGCAUCAUCUUCCUAUAGCUGUAACUUUUGCAUUUUUCAACAGUGAGCACACCAUGUUGAUAGAUCCAACCCAUAAUGAGGAGGCUGUUAUGGGGGGAAGAAUGACCGUUACAGUGAACGCAAAUGGUGAUAUUUGUGCUAUUCAGAAAGCUGGAGGAGAGGGUGUGACACAGAGUGAUAUAAUGCGUUGUUUGCGACUUGCAUCUAGGAAUGCUGAGUCCAUAACAAAGAAGAUAAAAGAUGCAGUUGAGGCAUACAGCACAGAGAGAGCAUUACGCAAGAUCAAGCGCCAUUCUACUUCUGUUGCUGUCAAUGUUAGCUUAUCUGGUGGUGAUGUUAGGGAGCAUGAAAACAAAUCUUUCAUGCACAGGGGCAAUAGUGAAUUGUCAAGAGACCAGACGGAGAGAUUGAAGCUAGUAUCUGAGGAAAGCUGCAAAAGCCAAAGUAAUGACAUAGAUGGUGGUCUGAGGUCAUCUGAACAAGGCGGAACUAGUUGCCGAGAGGGCAAUGCUACAAAUUUCCUUGGGG
This 676-nucleotide unclassified non-coding RNA is filed under the name Hevea brasiliensis (rubber tree). Lineage: Eukaryota; Viridiplantae; Streptophyta; Magnoliopsida; Malpighiales; Euphorbiaceae. The record is from RNAcentral.